RNAcentral lists this ribosomal RNA (448 nucleotides) under uncultured bacterium. RNAcentral's name for it is "bacterial SSU rRNA". It matches the Rfam family "Bacterial small subunit ribosomal RNA", at positions 587 to 1033 of the family's 1533-position model. The record is from RNAcentral.
GUCUGCUGUGAAAUCCCUGGGCUCAACCUGGGAAUGGCGGUGGAUACUGGCUUGCUGGAGUACGGCAGAGGAAGGUGGAAUUCCCGGUGUAGCGGUGAAAUGCGUAGAGAUCGGGAGGAACAUCAGUGGCGAAGGCGACCUUCUGGGCCAGUACUGACGCUGAGGCACGAAAGCGUGGGGAGCAAACAGGAUUAGAUACCCUGGUAGUCCACGCCCUAAACGAUGCGAACUGGAGGUUGGGUGCAACUUGGCACGCAGUCUCGAAGCUAACGCGUUAAGUUCGCCGCCUGGGGAGUACGGUCGCAAGACUGAAACUCAAAGGAAUUGACGGGGGCCCGCACAAGCGGUGGAGUAUGUGGUUUAAUUCGAUGCAACGCGCAGAACCUUACCUGGCCUUGACAUGUCCGGAAUCCUGCCGAGAUGCGGGAGUGCCUUCGGGAAUCGGAAC